This 241-nucleotide long non-coding RNA is filed under the name Elaeis guineensis (African oil palm). RNAcentral describes it as "long non-coding RNA (EGUI_LNC038322)". Lineage: Eukaryota; Viridiplantae; Streptophyta; Magnoliopsida; Arecales; Arecaceae. The record is from RNAcentral.
AGAGUGGUGGAGCCACACGGAAUCCAUUACAGAGAGUGGAGUAGGACAGUGGCCAUUGUCGUGACUUGUUAGAGAGUUUGGGCCUGACAGCUGAAGCUCGACUGGAACAUCUGAUGGAGUAGAAUGACUCUCUGUCUCAGCAAUCCAGGAGAAGCUUGGAUGUUUUCAAAGUUGCUGACGAGUCCACUGUUGUCGGAUACCUUGGGUGCUGAUGCUACAGGUGGGAGUCAUCUGCUGUAGA